AACAAGGCGUACCUGCGGACCUGCGGAAGGAUCAUUACAGAGUUCGUGCCCUCGCGGGUAGAUCUCCCACCCUUGUGUAUUCUCUACAUCUUGUUGCUUUGGCAGGCCGUUGGUUCGCCAACCACCGGCUCGCGGGCUGGUGCGUGCCUGCCAGAGGACCUCUCAAACUCGGUUUGUCAGUGUCGUCUGAGUACCAUAACAAUCGUUAAAACUUUUAACAAUGGAUCUCAGAUCGGAAGA
RNAcentral lists this unclassified non-coding RNA (240 nucleotides) under soil metagenome. RNAcentral's name for it is "partial contains 5.8S ribosomal RNA, internal transcribed spacer 2, and large subunit ribosomal RNA". The record is from RNAcentral.